UCGAGAAUCUUUCGCAAUGGGCGAAAGCCUGACGAAGCGACGCCGUGUGUGUGAUGAAGGCCUUCGGGUUGUAAAACACUUUCGCCUGGGAACAAGAGAGGUUGGCUAGUAUCCAGCCGAUUUGAGGGUACUAGGUAAAGAAGCGCCGGCUAACUCCGUGCCAGCAGCUGCGGUAAUACGGAGGGUGCAAGCAUUAAUCGGAUUUAUUGGGCGUGAAGAGCGCGUAGGCGGGAAAGAAAGUUAGAUGUGAAAGCUCGAGGCUCAACCUCGAAAACGCAUCUAAAACUCCUUUUCUAGAGGAUGGAUGGAGAAAAUGGAAUUCCACGUGUAGCGGUGAAAUGCGUUGAUAUGUGGAAGACACCGGUGGCGAAGGCGAUUUCUAAUUUAUCCUGACGCUGUGGCGCGAAAGCAAGGGGAGCAAACAGGAUUAGAUACCCUGGUAGUCCUUGCGGUAAACGAUGUAUACUUGAUGUAG
Molecule: ribosomal RNA, 475 nt
Filed under: uncultured Chlamydiae bacterium
Lineage: Bacteria; Pseudomonadati; Chlamydiota; Chlamydiia
Description: bacterial SSU rRNA
Rfam family: Bacterial small subunit ribosomal RNA
Source: RNAcentral